Molecule: long non-coding RNA, 1686 nt
Organism: Gossypium arboreum
Lineage: Eukaryota; Viridiplantae; Streptophyta; Magnoliopsida; Malvales; Malvaceae
Exons: 2
Source: RefSeq, a predicted model, not a curated record
AAACAUUUGAUUAUUUAGAAAUCAAGUUUGGAAAUAAUUUUCUGCACUUUAGAAAACAUAAUAGACAUUUAGUAUCAAUACCAUAAAAUAUGGAUACCCCUUUUAAACUUAUCGAUACCUAUUAGGGUUUUAUGAUACUACACCGUGUUUUCUAAACAUAAAACAAAUUUUCCCCUAACUUUUUUCUCAUCCGUUUUUCAUUCCCAUAUUAUCAUUUUCAUCAAGGAUUACACAAGGUUUCUCAAGGAUUUCACCAUUUUAAAACACAUUUUGAGGAGAUUACCAAAUUUUUUGCCCGUAUUAUUGAAAAUCUUGUUUUAAUCUCUUGCUCACCAAGUCUUUGCCAAAAUUUCCCAACGAAAUUUCUUAGUAAAAUUAGUGUGUUCUAGAAUUCUAGAUUAAAUUAUGCCUCUUAAGAAAUGUCUUAGAUUCGAUGCCUCUUAUGCUAGUGCCCCUAGUGGGUGUAACUUGUCCUUUGGCGAAUGUUUUCGUUCUCUGGGAGAACGAGAACGUUUUGAUAGAAACUUCAUCACUCGUCUAGUUAAUACCUCUAGAACAUUAGAUGUUGAUUGCUUAUAAUCAUUUAAUUUUAGGUAUCUUCCCGUUUUACGUAAGUGACAAUUUCUUGAUUUCUUUAGAAUACGUUCUCCCGAAAACCUUGUCCGAGCCUUUUAUAGUAACCAAAUGGUCGAAUAUGAUGAGUCCGACGACACUGUUAUUGCCAUUAAUUCCUAUCUUUUAAAACAGAUAUUUACCUCACUCUAGAAGAUUUCAGAAAUUUUGUCAUUACCUCCCGGUUGUGUGUCUAAUGAAAAGGGUUCUUUUAAUCCCACCAAUUUUGGUCCAUCUAAUCUUGCUGUUAACUUAGAUAUGCAUGAUCAAUUAUUGCAUUUCAUUUAUCUCUUGGAUCUUUAAACCCAUAUCUAAGCAUAUAUCGUCAUUCGAAACAUCGAUUAUUGGUGGAUCGAUUGCUUUAAGUCAAACAGGUGUUCGGAUGUUGCUCUUCUCAUGUAUAACGACAUUACCAAAUCUAUUGGGAGAGACCUAGGUAGCUCUGUAACCUUACCAUCUGGGACCUGUCUUUUUUUUUUUUUUUUUUUUCUUGUUUGGGCAUCAAUACUUGUGUCAAUGCCCCUAUCUGAAGACAUCAACCUAUCGGUAUUGGGGCUCUUCAUCAUGCCAAGUACAAACAAAAUCCCUCUACUGGAGAAUGGGAGAAAGAAGGCCAAGCGGCGUGUCAUGAUGAUGAAGACCUUGGAGUUGAUCUUGAUGAUAUUCCACUUCCUGCCAAGAAGGCUCCUCCACCGGCAUCUUCAUCUGCUCAACCAUCUGCUCUGUCUCACUCUGACAACAUGUUUGUUGCCAUCCUUGGUGCUAUCACUUCCUUGAGUGAGGAGUUUAGAGGUUUUUGUACUUGCGUAGAUGAUGCUUUUGAUUGAGUAAAUAAUAAUGUUGGUAAUCUAGGCUCUAGGAUAAAGACUUUGGAGGAGCAAAUGGCUCAACUUCUUGCUCGCUUUCCUCCAUUGGAUCCUUCAUCAUCACCUAGGGAUGAUUAGUUUAGACCAUUCAUACGUUUGCAUCAUGCAUCUUUUUAAUUUGUUAAUGUACUCUUCUAUUGUCCUACUUUAAUUUGGGAUAUUAUCAUGUUUAUUCUUAAUGUUAGUUCUUUGUUUUCAUGUUUUUCAA